GAAAGGGGAACACAGGAAUCACCACAGACUCCCAGAAACGUGGCCCAUCCACCUCCAGGCUCUGAGCCAGGUUUCCUCCAGCACAGUUCCUGGGGGAUUUAACACCGACUGGCUUCAGUGUGAGGAAGGCAGCACGGAGCCCAGGCCACCGCUAAACAUCCUUCCCUGUCUCCUCCUUGCCAUGCGCCUGGCUUAGGCCUUCACCAUCUCUCCCCUAUCCACUGCCUGCACAGCCCACCAUCACAGGGCCUCCAAGGGUGAUCCUGCUGAAAUACAAAUCUAGCUAUAUCAGGUCUCUGCUUGAAAAGUUUAAUGGCUCUGAACUACCUACGGGCCAGAGAGAAACAAUUCCUUUUCACAGCACAAAGUCCCUUCAGGAUCUGGCCUUCACCCAAGUGUCCUGACUCAUCUCUCACGACUCACCCUCAGGCACCCUCCACAGGCGCAUGCCCCUGGUGCAGUUUCCCUGAGCCCUGGCCUUUGCCCUUGCUGUCCUCUCUGCCUGUCUCCUUCUGCCACCUCCCACCCUGACCCUUCUCUCCACUUAUCCCUCAUUCCCGUCCCCCUGGGCUCCAUACCCUUCCUCAGCACCCUCUAUAUAUCUCUGGGCUGUGUGUCCUCACAUCUCUCUCCCAUAUCCUAGAUGGUGAGCUCCCCCAGGGCAGGGAUCAAACUCCUUCCACUCAAUCAGCCAGUAUUUACGGAGUGCCCACUCGGUUUCCCACAGGAUGCUAAGUGCUGGGGAUGCCCUGAAGAGUAAGCCGGAGUCCCAGCCCUCAUGGGGUGGACUGCCUAGCGGACAUUCUUAUCGCUGCACCCCCAGAGCCUAGCACAGCACCUGGGCCAGGAAAGCAUUUGAUCAGUGUUUGCUGAAAUAGGUGAACGAGUGGGUGAGCGAAUGAGAGCACGUUGGAGAAACACGGCAACAGGUAAUUAGAGGAUGCUGCGGGCGGGGGGAGAGGGGGCUUCCUCUGGGGGAGUGAGAGAGAAGGCUGAGAAGACAGUAAACCACGGGACAAGGCAAAGCCAACUACAAUCCUCCCUUCUCCUCACUGUCCUGCUCCAAAAACAGACAAGAGGGCAGCCUGUGGAGCGCCUCCCCAGCAGCUAAUUAAUGACGAUGUUCACCUUGCCAGUGGCAAGAAGCCAAGGUCUAAUGAAAUCCAUCUUAGGAAGGUGAUUUGAGAUCUCACCCACCCCAUCAUCAUUAACCUCGGCUCUGCAUUCCCCUACCCAAGCCUUUCCCGCUACUAAAAAUGAAAAAAAAAAAACAAAAAAACAAUUCUAAGUUCCUCUUAGGGAACUAAUAGUACAAGAAUUGUUCCACCUCCACCACUCUCUUCACACUUAGUUUUUCCGCCACAGGGACCAAACCACUUCCCAGCUGAGAAAGAAAGCAGGGGCAAGGUGCAGAUUCCACCCAGGGACAGCAACCUAGGCCUCCUCCAACCGAGCUUGUGUGGAGGGCAGGGGCAGGGGCAGGGCAGGGAUGCCUGGCCAGGCUCCAGCACUCUACUGGUCAGACUCUUGUCUCUUUAGUCCAGCUCAACCCCAGGAACUGCAUCCAGACCCAGGACCCAGCCCACUGGUCAUGACCCUGGCCUGCCAGCUGGCUUAAGCUUGGUUUGGCAGCAUCAAGGGUUGAUUGAGUCCCAUGCAUCACAGAACCAAAACUUGUGAAAGCCACAGACUGCCACUUGGUCUCCCUGUAACACACAGACAAAUGUUCUGAAUGGAUGGAAGGAUUUAGCAAGCCAAGGUGUGGCAAAGUCCAAUUCCCAAUGCCAUGACUGAGCAACACUGCGGAGCAUCUCCCGCAGUAAAUCGGACAUUCUCUCCAGGAAGACUUGUUGAAUUCACAAACCCACAGACCUUCUCACGCCAUCAAGAACACACCAGGCACCACUUAGAGAGAAAUCCUGUGUGCCACGGCCCCACCCUCCCGGGUUCAUCUUUUUUGUUAGCAAGUCCAAUCUUCUGCCUUCUCCCUUCUUCAAAUGCAGAAAGUCCUCUAGGGCACACUAGGAAUCCAGGACAGGGUUUACCAUUAAGCUCCCAAGCUCUGGAAACUAGAUUUGCAUUCGCUUGCCAGUCGACUUUUCAGAUUGGAUUCCUAUAAUACUUGAAACAACCGGCUCCCUUUUCAUUCCUUUCCAACCCAAUUCACCGCAUGCAAAUGAUAUCUAUAUCAGUGCAAAUGACACCACCUGAAUUAUCUGGUUCUUGGCCAAAAAAACUGGGUUGUUCAGCAUGGAGUAGAAAGAGCUUUAAAAUGUAUUAUUAAUUGGGGCCGGAUUAUUUUUGCAACUGUUACUAAGGAAACCUCAAUUGCUAUAGUAACUGCAUAUGUUAAACUGGAAUCCUAUGACUAAACUUCUAUUCAGUCACAUGGUCUGAGAACAUGAAUUCAAGGAAGAGAAAUGUUUCAAAGCAUUUCCAUUUUUUUUCCUUCCCAUGUCAAAAUAUUGUGAAGUGUUGAGAAGCUUGAAAGAGAGGCAUUUUUUAAAUUUGGUGCACGUCUGACAGGUGGGCAAGGGGUCAGCUCCUAUUCUAUGCUCUGGAUUUCCUCCCACAUCUCCAGGGCAGGUAGGACCUUUCCUGAGGCACAGGGGAGACUGGAAUCUCCACAUAUAAUUAGGGAGCCCUCCCAUGUCCUGCCAGAGCCCUGCCCUGGGCGGUGUACAGCUUGCGUGCACCACCUUCCUCCACAGAGCUAGGAGAGCCCUGCCCACUUAGAGACCACAGGUGUUUUCAUCUGCAAAAUAAGAACAAUGUCUCUAUCUCCAUUAGGAGUUUUGUGCAGACUAAAAGCAAUGGUCUAUAAAAAGAGUUUAGCACAGAACCUGGGAUAUAACAAACACCCAGUGAAUUUUAGCUAUUCUCAUUCCUUUUUGGUUUCUGUGCCUUGUCCCAAGUUCAAAGUUCAACACUUAGAAUGGGAGUUGUCAAGCAUAAGUGGCAAUCUUCCUGCUCAAAGUGCUGUUCUCGGACCAGCAGCACUGGGAGCUUGUUAGAAAUGCAGACUCUCAGGCCCCACCCCAGACCCAGUAAGUCAGAAUCUGCACUUUAACAAGAUCCCCAGGUGAUUCACAAGUAGCUUCAAGCCUGAGAAACCCUGGACUUGGCCGUGUGAGUGAAUGGGCUUUGAGAGGCCAUAAAUGCAGACGUGAAAGAAAAGAGUGAGGCUUGGUUAACCCCCAACAGUGAAUUGGCAGGAGGAAGAAAGAAUCCAGCAAGAGACAGGAAGAGGGUCCGAGAGUUGCUCCAGCUCACGCCAGCAGCUGCCUUCACAGCAGCCCCCAGAGGCCAGGCCCUGCUUUGAGGGAGUGGCCCUUUCUUUCUGCAACUGGAGAGUUUCCUUCCCAGGCUUGUGAUUAAAACUUGGAAGAUCUGUGUUUUGUAUGGUAGGAGAGGCUGUUGUGUUUGUUACAGGCCAGGAUAGGGUGGUUUCAAGGUGAGACAUCAGGAAGAGGGAAGAACUUCGCAGCGGAGACCAGCAGCAGCUUUCUCAGCCAGCCUACCCUCCCUUCGGAUUCCACUCUGUGCGUGCUCUUCUCACUCAAAACUCAUUUAUUUCUUCAAUAAAGGAUUCCCUUACGCUCUACUAUAGCUGUGUUACUGCUGCCUUACAACGAAGGUAAUUCUUAAAAUCUUCUCUUUCUUACAAAAUUCUAAGCAUAUGCAGGGCAGGGACUCUGACCCAAUCAUUGUUAAACUAAUCAAUGAAUGGUUGAAUAAAUGUGGUUACUUUUCAAAAGGAGGGGCAAUUCUGAUUUUGAUAGAAAAGAGAACAUUUCAAAAGGUAUAUGGCCCCUGAGCUAGGCCCUGAGAAACAAGCAGAGAAGGAGAAUCAAAGGGCACGCCAGAGAGAGGGGACAAGAGGAAAAAGAUGACAACUACCCUGUGCACUCUAUUCAAGGAGGAGCAAGUGCUCAGGUGUAGUGGAUGAGGUUAGAAAGGUAAGCUUCGGCCACACUGCAAGGGGCCUGCAGCUUGUACUUGAUCCUGACCACCUGUGGCCCUCAGGGUGCACGCCAUGGAUCUGCAGAUCAGCAUCACCUGGGAAUCUGCCAGCCCCUGCUAAGUCAGAAAAACUGCGAGUAAGGCUCAGCAACCUGCAGUCUCAUGAGCCCUCCAAUUGAUUCUGAUGCACAUUCAAGUUUGAGAAGCAACAGCCGUGCUGCUGAGGUGGUUGCCGGCCUGCUGCCUCCCACAGAGCCCGCAAGGCAGGAACGUGACACACCCAUCUCAGCAGCCUCACCAGCAUGGCAACCUGGCACUUAACAACAGGCAGAAGCCACCUGGGAUGGAAGAAGGAGAACCCCAGACUCCCCUGAAAGAAGGCAGAGGCCAGUCCUCUGAGGGAUGGGGCAGCCAUCCCUCAGAAUGUGAAAGGAGAGCCAGUGUUCACAUGCUCUGGACUCAUGGAAGUCAAAGAAAAGCCCUCUGCUAUCCCAAUCUGCCGGGUCAGCAAUAAGAAAUAGAAGAAAACCGAUUUGGCAACAUCCAGAGGGUAUUAAAUAUUCAUCCUGACUGCCCAUCAGUAAAAUCCCAGCAGAAUACACCCUCUGACAAGUCGGCUUUCCACCACUAGAGGCUGUCCUCAUGGAAGCUUGUUUAUGGCUUUGUCAAUUUUAAUGUACAAUAUUUAAUAGCCAAACCAAGAUAUUGUCAUAAACAUUUGGAAAAUGAGUGCUAACAUUUCCCUUACUGCUUCUGUAUUUAAGGAUAUGUAAUUGGAGGGUGUUUUGAGCUAAAGAAAAUCAGAAGGAAGCAAGGCAAUUAUGCUUCACAAUUAAAAGAGAAAAGAACUGAUUAAGAGCUAAUAAUCAAACAUGUGAACUGGCUGAAAGUCUUGCCUAAGCACCCCUUGAGGGGUCACACUAUGUGAUCAAUGGGGAUCAGACUAAGCUAGAUCAAUGGCAACGUUGACAGUGAUGGCAUUCCUUGAAGAUUCUGUUGGGGAUAUGCAUAUGCAACAGGAAGCACACACAGGGAAUGGUCAAAUAACAGAUCCACAAGUCAACUGUGCCAUCCAACCAGAGAUUCUGAUGAAUACUGAUAUGGGGGCAGGAUCAGCAGGUGGCUCCAGCAGGGACGAGUCUGGGGCACAGACCACAAAGAAGCUUGCUGCGAUAAAUGAUAUCACAGCAGUGGAAGGCUGAUGGUAAACAGACCAGCAUGAGUGAGUCAACAGUCCCUGGGUUCCUAUUUGAUUCUGAUGGAAUAAGAAUAUUUAACACAAUAUUCUUUAAAACGGGGGUAGCAGGGGACAUUUCUAUGGAAGACACCAGAGCAGGGCUAAGAAUCUAUGUUUUGAGGGGCAAGGUACGCAGGGAGAGCAAAAGAAGAGAGGACAGCGCUGGUUCGGAGCUCUGGUAUCCGCAAGUCUUAGAGCCACCUUGUGGCAGAAGCUGGAAGAAUCAGGAGUUAAAAGAGGCACAAGAUAAAACUUCUACACCAUCAGCAAACUGUGUCUUGAGGAACCUCUACCAAUGUCUUAUGACCCCAACUUCCAAAAAACAAAUUUAAGGAUUUGCUAAAGGGGAUUAGGAAAUCAGGGGUGGUUAACCAGAGAGAGGAAACAUUAAAUACAAGUAUACAGUACCAAAGAGGAUUCCUGAGAAGAAAAACACUUGUCUAGAACAUAUAAUAAUAAAAUUAGGAACUUGGACUCUGGAGCCAAACUGCCUGUCUGGACUUGAAUCCUGGCUCUGCCACUUACUAUGGCACACUGGGCAAUUUAUGUAACUUCUGUGUCAGUGUCCUCAUCUGUGAAGUUGGGUAAAACGGUCCCCCUCACAGCACUGCAUGGAUUAAGAAACGAGGAACCAAAGCAUUCACAGUGGUUUACAAGAAAUGCUCAGUGAAUAUUAGCUGCUACUGUUGUUACUACCAGUAACACUAGUGCUAUAACUCCUCCACAUCAUCAAUCUACAAGGAGAAAAUUCUUCUGUAAAGGACACGAUUAACUGAAUGCUGAAAGAAUAAUCUCUGAUUACAUAGCCUUUAAAAGGUCAAAGUCUCCCUACCGCAAUUACUCUUUAACAAGGCACACCUGGAUUCAAAUCCCAACUUCCCCCAUUCACUAGGUGUUUAAUUUGAGGAAGUGAGAAUCUCUCAGAGCCUCUGUUACUUCAUUUAUAAAAUGGGAAAGCAAUAUGUUCCUCCCAGGGUUGCAGUGAAGAUUAAGUGAGGUAAUAUACACCAAGUGUCCAACAGUCUCCAGCGCACAGUCAGCUCUCAUGUAUUUUUCCACUUCUAUUUCCCCAAAAUGAAUGCACCAGCACCAAAGUAUAUAGGAAAGAGUAAAAACUCAUAUGAAGCUCUCUGGAAAAUAUUAAGUGCUAAAUGCAUAAAUAUUUAAUAGAGGAGAGACAGUAACACUUAAGGGGAUGCACUCUCCUGGUGCCUCAGCUGCCCUCUGGGAGUCCUGCACGGCCUCAAGCACCCACCUUUGCUCUUCCUAGCCUCCAAAGGGCCAUAAAAGUAUAUUACUGUGCACCUUUAAGUAGAGGCCUCUUAACAGCCCAAGUACAGUGAUACUCAUAAGUCUCCUCUGCCAACCACUGUUCAUUCUCACUUUACAGUGAAAACACAACAGAAACCAACUCAAGACACCCAAGACACAAAGACGACCUCAGAGCAGAUCUGGGGUCUCCCAACCCUCCAGCUACUUUACCCAGGAGGCAAUUAUGGUAUAAAGGAAAACAUUUGCUCUAUGGAAGUCAGAGAUACCUGGGCUCCAAUCUCAGUUCAAAUCUCAGUUUUGCCACUUAACCAGCUGGCUUGCCUCCAUCAAGAUUCCCAACCACUUUGAGCCUUGGUUUCCUCAUUAGCAAAAUAGGGAUACAAACACCUACAUUAUUAGGUUGUUGGAUAAAUUUAAAAAGAAAACAUGAGUAAAGCACUAAGCAGAAACCUGGCAUCCAAGAGGUACUUCAUACAUAUUUUUCCCUGUCUGCCUUUAGUAACACCAUAAACUAAUCCAAAUAAUUAGAACCUUCAAUGAACUAAUUCUGUAUUCUUCCCUUAGGCACUCCAGUCUUAGAUUCCAAGUAGUACCAGAAACAGGCAAAUACUAGGGAUGUAUUCAAAAAGGCAAUGUCAGACAAGGUCUUGAGGUCAGCAACUCCUCUACCUUCUACAGCUGCAGAACCAUGUGAUGGGCAAUGCUGCUCAGAAAACUGACCUUGAGAGCCAGAGGGGACAAAAAAAAAAGGUGCAAUUACAAUCCUAAUGUCCCACUCAAUAAUGCAGGCAAGUGGGUACCUCGACAUUUUCCACAACAAGGGUUCACAUAAAAUGGGGUCUCUGCUUAACCUUCCAUUAACCUGAAAAUCCAUUUAAGCAAAACAGCCUCUUCCCUGAGCCUCUUGUCAGUCGAAGUUUAGGCUGUCAU
This 7402-nucleotide long non-coding RNA is filed under the name Homo sapiens (human). RNAcentral's name for it is "HSALNT0294900". Lineage: Eukaryota; Metazoa; Chordata; Mammalia; Primates; Hominidae. The record is from RNAcentral.